UACGUAGGGUCCGAGCGUUGUCCGGAUUUAUUGGGCGUAAAGAGCUCGUAGGCGGUUCCGUAAGUCGGAUGUGAAAACUCAGGGCUCAACCCGGAGACGACAUCUGAUACUGCGGUGACUGGAGUCUGGUAAGGGAUCACGGAAUUCCUGGUGUAGCGGUGAAAUGCGCAGAUAUCAGGAGGAACACCGAUGGCGAAGGCAGUGAUCUGGGCCAGUACUGACGCUGGGGAGCGAAAGCGUGGGGAGCAAACAGG
Molecule: ribosomal RNA, 254 nt
Filed under: uncultured bacterium
Lineage: Bacteria
Description: partial 16S ribosomal RNA
Rfam family: Bacterial small subunit ribosomal RNA
Source: RNAcentral